This 552-nucleotide ribosomal RNA is filed under the name Microhyla sp. USNM 564839. RNAcentral's name for it is "partial 16S ribosomal RNA". It matches the Rfam family "Bacterial large subunit ribosomal RNA", at positions 1817 to 2597 of the family's 2925-position model. Lineage: Eukaryota; Metazoa; Chordata; Amphibia; Anura; Microhylidae. The record is from RNAcentral.
CGCCUCCUGCUUCUUAUAGGAGGUCUAGCCUGCCCAGUGACAAAGUUAAACGGCCGCGGUACCCUAACCGUGCAAAGGUAGCGCAAUCACUUGUUCUUUAAAUGAGGACUAGUAUGAACGGCAUCACGAAGGUUAUACUGUCUCCCCACUUUAUUCAGUGAAACUGAUCUUCCCGUGAAGAAGCGGGAAUUUUUUUAUAAGACGAGAAGACCCCAUGGAGCUUUAAACUCAGCAUCAACUGCCUCUCUGUAAAACCUAGUACAAAAGCAGCCAUGACACCUAGUUUUCGGUUGGGGUGACCACGGAGUAAAGCCUAACCUCCACGACGAAAGGAACUACCCACCUAAGCCAAGAGCUACAGCUCUAAGCAUUAAAAAAUUAACCAAAUUGACCCAAUUUUUUGAUCAACGAACCAAGUUACCCUGGGGAUAACAGCGCAAUCCAUUUCAAGAGCCCCUAUCGACAAAUGGGUUUACGACCUCGAUGUUGGAUCAGGGUAUCCCAGUGGCGCAGCCGCUACUAACGGUUCGUUUGUUCAACGAUUAAAACCCU